This 485-nucleotide ribosomal RNA is filed under the name uncultured bacterium. Its description in RNAcentral is "partial 16S ribosomal RNA". It matches the Rfam family "Bacterial small subunit ribosomal RNA", at positions 36 to 507 of the family's 1533-position model. The record is from RNAcentral.
UCUUCCCUCUGUCUUCGUGCUUAACACAUGCAAGUCGAACGGGAUCCAAGGGGUGCUUGCACUUUUUGGUGAGAGUGGCGAACGGGUGAGUAACACGUGAGUAACCUGUCCUUUUCUUUGGGAUAAGCAUUCGAAAGGGUGUUUAAUACCUUAUGUUCUGUCUGCCUCGCAUGGGGUGGGUGGGAAAGGCUUUGGCCGGAUUUGGGUGGGCUCGCGGUCUAUCAGCUUGUUGGUGGGGUGAUGGCUUACCAAGGCUUUGACGGGUAGCCGGCCUGAGAGGGUGGUCGGUCACAUUGGGACUGAGAUACGGCCCAGACUCCUGCGGGAGGCAGCAGUGGGGGAUAUUGCACAAUGGGCGAAAGCCUGAUGCAGCGACGCCGCGUGGGGGAUGAAGGCCUUCGGGUUGUAAACUUCUGUUGCUCUGAACAAGGCAUGCCAGUGGGUGUGUGGAGUGGAGGGGUUGAUUAGCGCCGGCUAACUACGUG